AGCCUCCCUUAUACCACCGACAGUACGAAGGGUACGAGUACCCCGGUUCUCAGCCCUAUGGAGGGCCAGGUGCCUCGCAAGGGGCUCCAUUUCAAGGAACCCAGUUUACCUCUAUGCCACCAGCUGGAGGGACUUUAGGAUCACAACAGUUCACCGGAGUGGGGCCGUCUUCGUAUCACCCUAUGCCGCCACCAGGAGGAUAUGAAGAAUCUUCUUCCUAUCCACCACCACCACCACC
Long non-coding RNA from Panicum virgatum (switchgrass), 238 nucleotides. RefSeq lists it as uncharacterized. The record is from RefSeq and is a predicted model, not a curated record. NCBI's taxonomy places the organism in Eukaryota, Viridiplantae, Streptophyta, Magnoliopsida, Poales, Poaceae. The transcript has 3 exons.